Molecule: ribosomal RNA, 467 nt
Filed under: uncultured bacterium
Lineage: Bacteria
Description: partial 16S ribosomal RNA
Rfam family: Bacterial small subunit ribosomal RNA
Source: RNAcentral
GAUGAACGCUGACAGAAUGCUUAACACAUGCAAGUCAACUUGAAUUUGGGUUUUUAACUUCGGUUUGGGUGGCGGACGGGUGAGUAACGCGUAAAGAACUUGCCUCACAGCUAGGGACAACAUUUGGAAACGAAUGCUAAUACCUAAUAUUAUGAUAAUAGGGCAUCCUAUAAUUAUGAAAGCUAUAAGCGCUGUGAGAGAGCUUUGCGUCCCAUUAGCUAGUUGGAGAGGUAACGGCUCACCAAGGCGAUGAUGGGUAGCCGGCCUGAGAGGGUGAUCGGCCACAAGGGGACUGAGACACGGCCCUUACUCCUACGGGAGGCAGCAGUGGGGAAUAUUGGACAAUGGACCGAGAGUCUGAUCCAGCAAUUCUGUGUGCACGAUGAAGUUUUUCGGUAUGUAAAGUGCUUUCAGUUGGGAAGAAACAAAUGACGGUACCAACAGAAGAAGUGACGGCUAAAUACGUG